This 1101-nucleotide unclassified non-coding RNA is filed under the name Leishmania donovani. RNAcentral's name for it is "gene:LdHU3.15.1270(CDS-product:calmodulin-like_pr otein)". The record is from RNAcentral. Lineage: Eukaryota; Euglenozoa; Kinetoplastea; Trypanosomatida; Trypanosomatidae.
CUGCCUCCUCCUCUCCGUCUCAGUGCGUGAGUACCUAGGCCCUACCCGUAACCCCUACCCCCGCACCACCACCACCUCGGCACACCACGAGGUAACCGAUCGGAAGCUCCACAGUUAUAUAUAUACACACACGCUCACACAGCGCACCACCUUACGUCAUUGAGUGCCAUCACCGCUUUCUCUUCCUCACUACUCGCCACCUGAUCGUAGUGCCCGUCAUGGCCGCACCGGAAGCAGCGACCGCCGCAGCUGCAGCUGCGGCUGCAGCUUCGCCGGCGGCCGGCAACUUCGCAGUGCCACUAGAGUGGAGCUCGACGUGGAACCUCUUCGACGAGCGGCACACUGGGUCGGUGUCGCACAUUGACCUCAAGCACAUCUUGCGCAGCCUCGGGCGCCGCUACACGGAGGCGGAGCUCAACGAUCUCCUACGGCCCUUGCCCAACCCUGCCUCGUACGACGCAUUCAUAAAGCUGAUGCAGCAGCCGUACACGGGGCCGACCGAGGAAGACCUCGUGACAGCGCUGCGCGCCUUCGACGUCGGGGACUCGGGCCGGCUGAAGCUCUCUGAACUCAUUACCCUCCUCACGACGCUGGGGGAGAAGAUGCCGGAGGCCGACGUGCGGCAGCUACUCGCCGAGGUGCCGACAGAUGAAAAGGGACGGGUGCGCAUCGACGAGCUGGCGGCGUACCUGUGUACCCCGGUGCCCACCACGACGCCCGACAUCAUAGAGCUGCAGAGGCAGCUGGGGCAGGCGCAAUCAACAGCUGGCGUACCCGUGACCAAGAGCAUCUAAGGGCACCUGUGUUAUAGUGAAGGUGAGGGCGGCAGAGACAUACACGUCAAGCUCCACUCCCCCCACCCACCCCGCCAGCCACGUGGCCUUUCGCUCGGUCUCUUUCUCCCACACGUCUGCCCAUGUGAUCGCUGAUGGUGCACACACACACACAGACACAGAGACACAUACCACCGCCGAUGUCCCUCCAGUCGCAUGUUGUGCGCUUCCUUCGCGCGUAUAAGGGUUCGUCUCGGACGGUGCUACACACACGCACUCUCUCAUGUACAUACGCAGAAAAUAUUGCCCCGGUGGUACGGAUAGACGG